Bombyx mori (domestic silkworm) is the source of this 722-nucleotide long non-coding RNA. RefSeq lists it as uncharacterized. Lineage: Eukaryota; Metazoa; Arthropoda; Insecta; Lepidoptera; Bombycidae. The record is from RefSeq and is a predicted model, not a curated record. The transcript is spliced from 3 exons.
GCCAAAAUCAUAAAUGUAUUAUCUAUAGCCAAAAUUUAAACGCAAAAAUUGCACUCCUAAAUUUUUUUAAUGUAAAUUGUUCUAAGUAGAUAAGAUUACUAAAUCAUUUUGAAUACAACUUACAUAAUAAUUGCAUUACUUAAUUAUACAUGGAGUGGUUGAAUGUUGACGUGCAAAUAGUAACGAUUUUAUUAAGUGCAAAUUUUUGUUGAUAAUGGCUGCACAUCGCGUAUCUGUUGCAGCGUCGCUAAGAGGUGCUGAUAAAUCUUCAAUAGAAUAUGAUGAUGGGGAUGAAGUAAUGGAGCAAUCCGGAGAGCGGAGUAUGAUGACUCGAGACUUCAAUAUUGGCAGAGUUGAAGAAUCAUACUGCUUGAUGCUAAGAAUUUUCGCAUAGACAGAUUGUAUCAAAGCUUUCACAUAUUGCUUUGUCUGUGCUAUAUGACCAGUCAUCAUUUUAAUGCAACCCUCUAUCUUUUCAUUCCAUGAGGACAAAGGAGGCAAAGCUUUCUCUAAAAUUGAUGGAUCAUUAGCGCUAACUCCAUGGCAAUUAAAAUACCGAUAUCGGAUGCGAGCAAGUAAAAACUUUUUCUGACACCAAUUUGCUCUGUUAUCAACUGAAAGGAAUAGAGAGUACCUAUUUAGUACAAAUAGAAAUAUUACUAAAAUGUUUCGAAUGUUUAAAAAAAAACCAUGCAAUAAAUAAUAUGGUCUUGUGCCCUAUA